GCAACAUUAUGUAAUCGGUAACAUUUAAGAUUCAUAUUCUUAUUAUGACAGUUCGAAUCUGUCUGUUGCA
Molecule: transfer RNA, 70 nt
Filed under: Candida viswanathii
Lineage: Eukaryota; Fungi; Ascomycota; Pichiomycetes; Serinales; Debaryomycetaceae
Description: tRNA-Met
Rfam family: tRNA
About the family: Transfer RNA (tRNA) molecules are approximately 80 nucleotides in length. Their secondary structure includes four short double-helical elements and three loops (D, anti-codon, and T loops). Further hydrogen bonds mediate the characteristic L-shaped molecular structure. tRNAs have two regions of fundamental functional importance: the anti-codon, which is responsible for specific mRNA codon recognition, and the 3' end, to which the tRNAs corresponding amino acid is attached (by aminoacyl-tRNA synthetases). tRNAs cope with the degeneracy of the genetic code in two manners: having more than one tRNA (with a specific anti-codon) for a particular amino acid; and 'wobble' base-pairing, i.e. permitting non-standard base-pairing at the 3rd anti-codon position.
Source: RNAcentral